This 1363-nucleotide unclassified non-coding RNA is filed under the name Centruroides sculpturatus (bark scorpion). Its description in RNAcentral is "probable tRNA N6-adenosine threonylcarbamoyltransferase, mitochondrial, transcript variant X2". The record is from RNAcentral. Lineage: Eukaryota; Metazoa; Arthropoda; Arachnida; Scorpiones; Buthidae.
CACGUGUUGCUGUUUGGUUUACUGAAAUUGAUUAUAAUCUUGUUAAUCUUGAUAUUUACAGCUAGACUUAUUAAUGCUCAUUCCAGUUAAUCGAAUUUUUAUAUCAGGAUGUGGAAGAGGUUUUAAUUAUUCGUUUAGAUGUUUUGAAAGGAAAUAUCGAACUGUUUUAGGUAUCGAAACUAGUUGCGAUGAUACAGGUGCUGCAAUUGUUGACGAAUUUGGUAACAUCAUUUCAGAUGUUCUUCGCUCACAGCAACAAUUUCACCUUGACAAUGGAGGAGUUAUACCACGAUUAGCCAAAUCUCUUCAUCAAGACCAAAUAGAAUAUGUAAUUACUAAUACAUUAAAGAAAAGUGGCAUGAGUUUGCAAGAUAUAUCUGCAAUUGCCACUACAGUGAAGCCUGGAUUAUUGCAUUCUUUAUUAGUUGGUUUUAAUUAUAGUAAAAUUCUUGUUAAUGAGAGUGAAAAACCAUUUAUACCUAUACAUCAUAUGGAAGCUCAUGCUUUAGUUGUCAGAAUGACUGAAUUAAUACAGUUUCCUUUCCUCGUGCUUCUUGCUUCAGGAGGUCACUGUCAAAUUGCUGUCGUUAAAGAAGUUGACAAGUUUUUACUUCUUGGAAAAAACUUAGAUAAUCCGCCGGGUGAAGCUCUUGAUAAGAUUGCAAGACGAUUAAAGCUUAAGAAUCUUCCAGAAUGUUCUUCAAUGUGUGGUGGAAGAGCUAUUGAAUACUUAAGUGAAAGUGGAAAUCCUAAUGCUUACAAUUUCACACUCCCAUUGUAUAAAUUUAGAAGUUGUGACUUUUCUUUUUCUGGAUUAAAAGUACAAGCUUUAAGAGCAAUUAUUAAAGAGGAGGAAGAAAACAAUGUUUUUGCUGAUGGUUUAAUUCCAAAUAUUUCUGAUUUCUGUGCCUCAAUACUUCAUGCUUUUACAAAACAUCUGGUUAGACAAGUUCAGCGGGCCAUGAUAUUCUGUGAAAAAAAAAACUUAAUACCAGAAGACAAAAGAACAUUGGUAUUUUCUGGAGGUGUAGCAUGCAAUGCUUAUAUUAGAGCAGCUUUAAAUAAAUUAUGUGGUCACUCAGGUUGGCAGUUUUCCUGUCCUCCUCCCAAACUAUGCAAUGAUAAUGGUAUCAUGAUUGCUUGGAAUGGAAUGGAACGUUUGAAAGCCGGAAUUGGAAUAACAAAAAGUAUAGAUGAAGUUAAUGUUAUUUCAAAAAAAACUUUAUGAGAAGACCCAAUACAAGGAUUGUUGCAUCUACUUUGUUUAAAACUUAUUCAAGUACACUGGAUGUCCUUUGGGAAAAGAUAUUUCAAAAGAAGUAAUUGAUGAAAAUAUUAAAAUAAAAAGAUUUCAGUUUGGUGA